CAAGCCAUCUCUUAUAUUAAGAAAUUUAAAAAAGAAAAGGAAGGAACAAAAGUAGAAGGGAAAAAGCAAUUCAACAAAACUCUACAUCAUGGAGGAGUGAGGAGCCUCUGACCACCAGCUAUAUAAUGUCUGUGAACUCAAUUGAAUAAUCAACCUGAAAAGAUGAUGAGCUAAAAACUAAGACUGAAUCUCAGAAGCAUGAAGAAUUUGCAGUGCAAAUAGUAGCUGGAUAAAGACCACCCUUAUUCUUUGAUGGAAGACCACCCUGGAGAGAAGACAAUGGACAAGCUUAGCAAUGGUCAUGGGUGAAGUUCACUUUCAUUUCCUCCAUCCAGUGCCCAUCUCCAGGACUGUGCCUUUCAGGUGGGCUGCUAACAACAGAUGACGUAUGCUGCAGGGAGCUAAAUGUCAGAUAGAAACAAUUUAGAAAUUUCAUCUUCUCACAGUGAUGGCAAGGAUUUAUGACUAUUCGAGACUUUAUUACUACUCAUCAGCCUCCUACUUAACCUGCCUUUAUCUCUUUCUCCACAUUUCAUCCACAUAGAGAUGGAGUUAAGUUAAAUGACUGGGACAGCUGGGGCAGAGAUAAAAGCAACACAGAAGAACAGUUUAAUGUGUUGGAAAAAAUCAUUAGGGGAGAGAAUGUGGAAAGGAAAGGGAAAAUGAUUUAUAUAGCAUUUAUAUAGUACCUACUAUGUGCUAUGCAUUGUGCUUAGCACUUUGGGAAUAUCAUCUGACCCCCAAAACAAUUUAAAGUAGAUGCUAUUAUGAUCACCCCUUUAGUACUGAGUCAAGCAGAAGUUGGGUAACAUGUUCAGGUCAAGUAAGUAAGUAAGAGUCUAAUGCUUAAUGUCACAUUUGAACUCGGGUCUUCCUCAUUCCAGGCCCAGCACUACCACCAACCAAGAAUCAGAAGAACAACACUUCACAAUGGCCCAUAAUCCAUCUGUAGUCUAUCUCAUUUUCAGCGACAACCUUCUCUAUAUUGGAAUAUAUAUCAGAUCCAAAGAUUUUCCUGAUUCCCUUAAUUUUAGUACUUUCUAUUGAUUAUUUCCAAUUUAUCCUGUACAUAGCUUGUUUAUACCUACUUUUUUACAUAUUGUCUUCCUCAUUAGAUGCUGAGCACUUGCAAGGGAGACUGUCCUUACCUUUUUUUGUAUUUCCCAUAAGUGCCUGGCACUUAGUGACUGAGAAAACAAUCCAUCCUUCCACCCAUUGUUAUGUCAAAAAACAGUGUCUUUAAAAUAGUGAAAAGAGCUCUUUUUUUAAGGGGAAACAUCUUAUUACUAUAUUUAUUUGUUUUUAGUAAUUUAGACAAACUUUCGUCAUCACCACCACCACCAAGGUCUAAUAUAUGAAAAAACUUGAAGGCUAAGAGUGAAAACCUAAAAAAGUUAAAAACAAAACAAAACCAAAAAAAAGCAAAAAAAAACAAAAACAAAAACAAAAAAAACUAGACCCUCAAGAUAAAAUGGAGGGGAGGGGAGUGAAUGAGAGGAAACGAGGAAGAAAUAAAUGUGACAAAUGAAAGGAAAAGAGCAAAAAGAUAUUGGUACAGAAAGACAUAGGGUAAAAAAAAGGGCAGAGAGAUUAAGGAGCAUGUUGGAAAAAGAAGGGAAUGUAGCCUAGAUAAAGAAUGGCAACAGGAGAAGGGAAAGAGUAAUCACUGAACUAGGGAACCAUAUCAUAUGUCUAAGUUAACAUAAAAUUUUGAAGUUGACAUCCAAAAUUAGAAAACUCCUCUAUUCCUCUCUUUUAUAUCUUCCACAUUCUCUUCCUUGAGCGAAUUAUUUUUCAAUCUUUGAAGCUUCUAGUUAGUCUAGGUAUAAUCUAAUACUUGGUUUUUUCUUCAAGGCUCUGCUGAUACUAAAAAAGUUAUUUCUCUAAACAUCUCCCACACCUACUGAGAGUUUCAGUUCACAUCUUUAAAAUUUUUAUUUUAACAUUUCCUUUUUUGCCAGGCAAAACUCUAAAGAUGUCAUCUAGGCAGGACAGCAGCAGAAACAGUGAUUAUUGGAAUAAUUUCAUGGAGCUCGCAAACAUUAUAUAGUUCACAGUCCCAAAAAAAGCCAUGGCAGACCUCCUUUCCUGCUCUCCACUCUUCCAUUUUAUUAUUCAGUUUUUCUUCUAUAUACUAAGGGUGUUACCUCUAACUACAUUGUGUCUCAUAUUGAAUUGAACUGCUCCAUUUUUCCUUCCUAUUUCCUAAGCACUUAGUACCUAUUUCUCCAUUUCUAUUCUACAAUCUUGCUUCAUUG
Antechinus flavipes (yellow-footed antechinus) is the source of this 2258-nucleotide long non-coding RNA. RefSeq lists it as uncharacterized. The transcript has 4 exons. Lineage: Eukaryota; Metazoa; Chordata; Mammalia; Dasyuromorphia; Dasyuridae. The record is from RefSeq and is a predicted model, not a curated record.